UACGUAGGGUGCGAGCGUUAAUCGGAAUUACUGGGCGUAAAGCGUGCGCAGGCGGUUCGCUAAGUCCGAUGUGAAAUCCCCGGGCUUAACCUGGGAACUGCAUUGGUGACUGGCGGGCUAGAGUAUGGCAGAGGGGGGUAGAAUUCCACGUGUAGCAGUGAAAUGCGUAGAGAUGUGGAGGAAUACCGAUGGCGAAGGCAGCCCCCUGGGCCAAUACUGACGCUCAUGCACGAAAGCGUGGGGAGCAAACAGG
RNAcentral lists this ribosomal RNA (253 nucleotides) under uncultured bacterium. RNAcentral describes it as "partial 16S ribosomal RNA". It matches the Rfam family "Bacterial small subunit ribosomal RNA", at positions 524 to 776 of the family's 1533-position model. The record is from RNAcentral.